GAUGAACGCUGGCGGCGUGCCUAAUACAUGCAAGUCGAGCGAACGGACGAGAAGCUUGCUUCUCUGAUGUUAGCGGCGGACGGGUGAGUAACACGUGGAUAACCUACCUAUAAGACUGGGAUAACUUCGGGAAACCGUAGCUAAUACCGGAUAAUAUUUUGAACCGCAUGGUUCAAAAGUGAAAGACGGUCUUGAUGUCACUUAUAGAUGGAUCCGCGCUGCAUUAGCUAGUUGGUAAGGUAACGGCUUACCAAGGCAACGAUGCAUAGCCGACCUGAGAGGGUGAUCCGCCACACUGGAACUGAGACACGGUCCAGACUCCUACGGGAGGCAGCAGUAGGGAAUCUUCCGCAAUGGGCGAAAGCCUGACGGAGCAACGCCGCGUGAGUGAUGAAGGUCUUCGGAUCGUAAAACUCUGUUAUUAGGGAAGAACAUAUGUGUAAGUAACUGUGCACAUCUUGACGGUACCUAAUCAGAAAGCCACGGCUAACUACGUG
This 497-nucleotide ribosomal RNA is filed under the name uncultured bacterium. RNAcentral's name for it is "partial 16S ribosomal RNA". It matches the Rfam family "Bacterial small subunit ribosomal RNA", at positions 28 to 507 of the family's 1533-position model. The record is from RNAcentral.